GAUGCGACGCGAAGAACCUUACCUGGGCUUGACAUGCAGGGCAAAGCCGGUGAAAGCCGGCGCUCUACGGAGCCUGCACAGGUGGUGCAUGGCUGUCGUCAGCUCGUGCCGUGAGGUGUUGCCUUAAGUGGCGCAACGAGCGCAACCCUUGUCCUUAGUUGCCAGCGGGUCAAGCCGGGAACUCUAGGGAGACUGCCGGUGCCAAACCGGAGGAAGGUGGGGAUGACGUCAAGUCAUCAUGCCCCUCAUGUCCAGGGCUGCACGCAUGCUACAAUGCGCGGUACAAAGGGCUGCUAUCCCGUAAGGGGGAGCGAAUCCCAAAAAGCCGCGCUCAGUUCGGAUCGGG
RNAcentral lists this ribosomal RNA (346 nucleotides) under uncultured soil bacterium. RNAcentral describes it as "bacterial SSU rRNA". It matches the Rfam family "Bacterial small subunit ribosomal RNA", at positions 953 to 1302 of the family's 1533-position model. The record is from RNAcentral.